This 1755-nucleotide long non-coding RNA is filed under the name Capra hircus (goat). RNAcentral describes it as "lncRNA (ENSCHIG00010025526.1)". Lineage: Eukaryota; Metazoa; Chordata; Mammalia; Artiodactyla; Bovidae. The record is from RNAcentral.
GCCGGCCGACCGAGCCCGGCGCCGGAGCGGACGCUCAACUCUUCUUUCCCGCUCCGCACGCUCGGCGCCCGGCCCGGCCACUUGCUGCCGCAGAAGCCGGGGAUUCCGCCGGCAGCGCAGCGUUUUAUGUGAAUGGGUUUGUGGCAUGUGACGUGGCUGCCCAUAUAAGGCGGAAUAUGGGUAUUUCCCCGCCCCUUCGGGCCGCGGCCACGCCCCUAGGGGGCGGGACGCGCGGGGCGGGCGCCCCAGCGUUAGUCAGCCCGAGAAAGAGGAAGUGGAAGGCGCCUCGCUGUGUUCUCUGCGGCGCUGCGCGCAGACACUCACUUGCGCAUCACCGGGGACUGCCGAGCACUGCUUUCUUUGGUUUCUUCAAGACUGCUGCUGGGUCUGGACCAUCUUGGUAAAAUGAAAGAGCACUGGACUAGAAGUCAAAGAGCUGGAUUUUUGUUCAGCCUCUGCUGUGACCAGCUUUUGCUGUUUCAUUAAUAUUUGUAGAGUGCCUUCUGUGUGUGUAGGUAUUUUUCUCCCCGUGGCCCUCCCAUCUCCCUCACCCCCAGGACCUUAGAGUGGAGUGAAUACAAAGUUCACUUCAGGAUGCAGGCAUUUGCUGUGUGACUGUUGAGAAUCACUCACCCUUUGUCUGCUGUCACGGUUUCCUCUUCUAUAAAGUAGGGGCAUUAGCGUCUAUCUGUACACCGUGAGUGACAAUGACAUAAUGUACAUAAAGCUAUAGCAUGAUGAAAGCAUAAGGUAUUUGUAUGGUUGUUGUUGCUAAUAAUAAUAAUAUCCAUCAGCAAAGCAUUUACUCAGUCAAAUCCUAAUACACUGGUACAUUGUUUCCUCCUCUAUAAAGUGGGAAUGAAAAUAGGACUUAGCUCAUAAGUUACUAUCAGGAUUCAGUGAGUUAAGUUACUUCGAUGGGACAGCUACUUAGAAUGCCUGGUGCAUAUUAAGAACUCAGUAAGCGUUAACUAGUUGAACAGACUGUAGUAUUUGUUCCAGCCAAGAAAAGACUUUUUAAUGGCUCAGGAAAAAUAAGAUGGGAAUAAGCAUAGCAGGGAGGAAGAGGGAUACUUGCUGUUUAAUUCAGCUGGCAGUGAAAGAAUUAUUGGAAGCCCUUGAACUUGUUCUCAAGGCUUACUGAGUUCGAGGGGAUAUUUAAAGAGUAAAAAUCCCCAGACCAACUUACAGUAAACUAGAAGGGACAAGAAGCCAUUCAGAUAAUAAUAAGUGCUAGGUUGGAUGGUUUUGAUAUUGAGAGCCGAAGAAACUGUGUAGAACAGAGAUCGAUAAAGCCAGGAGCAUUAGAGCAGGUGAGUCUGGGAGAGGGGUUUAGGUUUGAUAAAUAACUCUUCCAGUUCUAAGAGCAAGGACUUUGGAGUGUGACAUUUAAGCCCCUGGUCAGCUGCUUACUGAUUGUGUGACCUUGGGCAAGUUACUUCACUUCUCUAAGCCACAGUUCUCUCAUCUGAAAAAAAAAAAAAAAAAAAAGUGGACUGGGGGGAGAUAAUAAUAGUACCUACCUCCGAGGGCUGAUGAGAAGAUUAAAUGGAGUACCUAUGAAAAGCUCUUCUCUGUGUGCCUGUAGCAUGGUGGGGGCUCCGUGUGAGCCAGUAUUUUUCUUUAUGAAAAGUCACGGGCAGCACGGAAGCACAGAAUCUUGGCAGUAAGGAAUUGUAAUUCUAUUUUGAAAUUUUCCAGAGAGGGAGCUUACUGCCUCAUGAGGCAUUUUUGAAUGAGACCAAAAAAGGAAAC